UUCCUACGGGGGGCAGCAGUGGGGAAUUUUGGGCAAUGGGCGCAAGCCUGAUCCAGCUAUUCCGCGUGUGGGAUGACGUCCCUCGGGUUGUAAACCACUUUAGUAGAGAACGAAAAGGAGCUAUCGAAUAAAUAGCUCUGCUGACGGUACUCUAAGAAUAAGCACCGGCUAACUACGUGCCAGCAGCCGCGGUAAUACGUAGGGUGCGAUCGUUAAUCGUAAUUACUUGACGUAAAGGGUGUGCAGGCGGCUGAGUAAGACAGAUGUGUAAUCCCCGGGCUUAACCUGG
Molecule: ribosomal RNA, 289 nt
Filed under: uncultured bacterium
Lineage: Bacteria
Description: partial 16S ribosomal RNA
Rfam family: Bacterial small subunit ribosomal RNA
Source: RNAcentral